RNAcentral lists this ribosomal RNA (468 nucleotides) under uncultured bacterium. RNAcentral describes it as "partial 16S ribosomal RNA". It matches the Rfam family "Bacterial small subunit ribosomal RNA", at positions 28 to 507 of the family's 1533-position model. The record is from RNAcentral.
GACGAACGCUGGCGGCGUGCUUAACACAUGCAAGUCGAACGAAAAGGCCCUGCUUUUGUGGGCUGCUCGAGUGGCGAACGGGUGAGUAACACUUGAGUACCCUGUCCCUGACUUUGGGAUAUCUUCAUAAAACUGGGGCUCAUACCGCCUAGGAGCUCUUGCUGCUUGGUGGGGGUUGGAAAGUUUCGCCGGUUGGUGAUGGACUCGCGUCUUAUCAGCUCGUUGGUGGGGUAGUGGCUUACCAAGGCUUUGACGGGUAGCCGGGCUGAGAGGGUGAGCGGACACAUUGGGAUUGAGAUACGGCACAGACUACUAUGGGAGGCAGCAGUGGGGAAUAUUGCAUAAUGGGCGGAAGGCUGAUGCAGUAAAGCCGCGUGGGGGAUGAGGGCAUUCGGGUUGUAUACCGCUUUCGCCUGUGACGAGGUGUGAGUGACGGUAAUGGGUAAAUAAGCACCGGCUAACUACGUG